GGACACUAGCCAUAACUGCUGGUCUUUCUCAGAAAUGUAAAGGGGCCAUUGUUUUCAUGUGGACACAUGUUCUACCUCUUGGAAUCUGCUUGAGUUCUGUUGGGAAUUGGCUAGUUUAGAGUGUUUAAGGGCAUAUCUUCAAACUUCCAAGAUUCUCUGUAAGCUACCUCCUAAAGUUCCAGAUUGACUAUAGAAUUCUGAUUAAACUUUUUCCUCCCCCACACACCCCCAGCCCUUUACCUUGGAAAUCUCCCAAGCCAGCUGCAAUCCCCUUGGCCAGCAGGCACUCCCUUGGUAACUAUGAAACAGAAUUGUUCUUAGGCUUGGACUACCCUAUAACUAGCCUUUAUUUUUUAGAUCCACCCAGAAGUGAGUCAUUCAUUGGUCUGUGGGCCAGGAUAUUGGCUGCCCCGGAGGGGAUAUUAUGAAUAUUAUGGAUAUAAAUAUUAUGACAUAUUUUACCCUUAUGUUGGGCUGAAAAACCUUGCAUUUUCCUGCUCAAAACUUAUGAUAAGGUAUGACUGGCGUUUUUACAUUAUGUGUCUUAAAGACAAUAUUGAAAAUGUCAUAAAUAAGAAUGAGCAGAUAUAAAAUAUGGCUAGUAAGACAUACUUUAACUUUUUUCUCUGCUAAUUAAUACUACUUGUAAUGAAGAAUACCAUCUUAUUUCUAGAUGUCUAUUUUAUUUUCACAUCUUACCGUACCGUAAAGAUGGUCAGUUGAAUAAAUUUAUCUUUCCAAUUAUAGAUACAUACUGAAUAUUUAGAAAGAUUAAAUAUACCUCAUGAGUAACUAAAGGUGGAUUUUGUGGGAGAUCAUUAUAAUUAUCUGAGACUGACUCUUAGUUUCAGGAUAUAUUUUGUGACAUCAAUAACAGUAGCUUCUAUUGAAUACUGCCUGUACACCAUAGUCU
This 913-nucleotide long non-coding RNA is filed under the name Marmota monax (woodchuck). Lineage: Eukaryota; Metazoa; Chordata; Mammalia; Rodentia; Sciuridae. The record is from RNAcentral.